This is a long non-coding RNA of Bolinopsis microptera, 842 nucleotides long. RefSeq lists it as uncharacterized. The transcript has 3 exons. The record is from RefSeq and is a predicted model, not a curated record. Lineage: Eukaryota; Metazoa; Ctenophora; Tentaculata; Lobata; Bolinopsidae.
ACUCAAAAACUAGAUUGAUUAAUUGAUAAUUCAUUGCUGAUUGUUCACGCGCCCUGUAUGGAAGUAUAAAAAUGGUAAUCCGCAUACUCCAGGAAGAAUUGAAGCAAUCUCAAGAGAAAAGAAGGGAAUCUGGAUCCUUCGUCGGAUCGUCACAGAGCUUAGAGGGGAGCUCUACGCUUCACUGGCCAUGCAAAGCAGGGAGAGUGACGGAGGCGGAGGCACUGCUGGCUGCUGGAGCGGACAUUAACAAGCUGGACAGAGCGCAGUUGAACCCUUUCAUGGACGCGAUCAACUCAGGACAGGUCGACUGUGCUAGAUGGCUGCUGAGGCAAGACGGUUGAAAGCUCCAGCCCGAGAUAUGGUCGUUUUGUAGGGAGCUGGAGAGGGGGCUAGAGUCAGUGCUAACAGCUUAACAGAAGCAAGGUACGGAGAGCGAUCCAUGGCUGUCCCGAUAGACCCACUCAGACUCCUGCCGGAAGAUACUCCUCCGGUUGAUCCAGAUGAGACAGUUCUAGCAGAUGAUCAGUUACAGACUGAAGAACAUAUCCCACAGAUCAAUGUGUCAACAUCUGCAAAUGAAGGUACUUCAAUCUGCUCUUCUUGUAUAUGUCUUUGUGCCUGCGUCUGUGAUUGUACUGAAGUGUACUCUGUGUGUUUGUGCCUGUGUUUGUCUUUGUAUCGAGUGUGUGUCUCUGAUUGUACUGCGUGUGUCUGUAAUUGUAAUGUAGUGUACUGAAGUGAACUAUGUGUGUUUAUGUGUGUGUGUCUGUGUGUGUAUGUGUCUGUGUGUGUUUGUGGGUGUGUUUGUGGGUGUGUGUGUAUGUCUGUGUGUAACUGUGUCU